Molecule: ribosomal RNA, 440 nt
Filed under: uncultured bacterium
Lineage: Bacteria
Description: partial 16S ribosomal RNA
Rfam family: Bacterial small subunit ribosomal RNA
Source: RNAcentral
CCUACGGGAGGCAGCAGUAGGGAAUCUUCCACAAUGGGCGAAACCCUGAUGCAGCGACGCCGCGUGAGUGAAGAAGUAUUUCGUUAUGUAAAGCUCUAUCAGCAGGGAAGAAAAUGACGGUAACUGAGUAAGAAGCCCCGGCCAACUACGUGCCAGCAGCCGCGGUAAUACGUAGGGGGCAAGCGUUAUCCGGAUUUACUGGGUGUAAAGGGAGCGUAGACGGCAGUGCAAGUCUGGAGUGAAAGGCGGGGGCUCAAUCUACGGACUGCACUGGAAACUGUACGGCUGGAGUGCAGGAGAGGAAAGUGGAAGUCCUAGUGUAGCGGUGGAAUGCGUAGAUAUUAGGAAGAACACCAGUGGCGAAGGCGGCUUACUGGACUGUAACUGACGUUGAGGCUCGAAAGCGUGGGGAGCAAACAGGAUUAGAUACCCCUGUAGUC